GGGGCUAUGGUGUAGCUUGGCCUAGCAUUGGAGCAUGGGGUGCUUCAGACCUGGGUUCAAAUCCCAGUAGCCCCA
RNAcentral lists this transfer RNA (75 nucleotides) under Candidatus Aenigmatarchaeota archaeon. Its description in RNAcentral is "tRNA-Pro". It matches the Rfam family "tRNA". From Rfam's summary of the family: Transfer RNA (tRNA) molecules are approximately 80 nucleotides in length. The record is from RNAcentral. Lineage: Archaea; Nanobdellati; Candidatus Aenigmatarchaeota.